RNAcentral lists this microRNA (23 nucleotides) under Bombyx mori (domestic silkworm). Its description in RNAcentral is "bmo-miR-3270". The record is from miRBase by way of RNAcentral. Lineage: Eukaryota; Metazoa; Arthropoda; Insecta; Lepidoptera; Bombycidae.
UGUCUUUUUCCUAAAACGAUUCA